AUGUUUCGAGUUUUAGAUCGUGAUCAAAUCCUUUACACAAUCUAAUCCUAUUACACCUUUGUUUGAUUGAUUUUUUAUGUAAAAACAAGGACAUGCAACAUCUCAAGUGAUGUAUUCAAAGGUUCUCAAGAAUCACUCAGAAGGAGAGUCUUCUGCUUAUCUCUAUGUAGUUUAGUUUGUGCAUUUCUGUUGAUCCAAAUUUUCUUUUUUUUUUUUCAAUUUGUCUAUGUAAUUUCUUGUAUAAUAUUAAGUAUUUUAUUUAAAAAGAUUGUUGAAAGGCUUUUCAAUCACAAAAACAAAUUAACAUAUCCAUAGUCAUUCUACAUGCUUUUCUUUAUUUUGGUGAAAUAAAGAUUUUUGUGUUUAUCAUUUUUAUUUUAAAGAAAAAAAUUCAAAUUUAUUAGAAUUUAUAUAUUUUAAUAUAGAAGUAUUUAAAACUACAUGAUAAGAGAUAUAUUUAAAAUAACUAAUCAUUAAAUCGAUAUAAUAUAAGAAAAAAAAUUAUAAAAUAUAAUUUAACUUUAUUAAAAUUUAAAUAAAAUUAAAUUGGAGUAGUUAAACUAAAACAAAGUAAAUAAGACUAUAAUAUAUUUAUGACCGUUAGAAAAAUAGAAAAAUAAUAAUAUUUAAAUGUAAAUUAUUUUUAGUUUAAAAUUAAAAAAAUAUAUAUUAUUUUUAAAAUUAUUAUUUUUGCGCAUGGCAGAUGAAAACUCAUACUCGUCUUCCUCGAUGAGUGUUGAUGAGAGAUUGUUCAUGAAACCGUCAUAGCAACCACAACUAGCUUUUUUAUAUUGCAUUCACCACUUCUCAUAUCUUAUGUGUUUUUGGAUGUUUUAUUUUUCGUGUUUUGAGAUGAAAUAUAUUCCGCAAUGCUUUCUACAAUUUGCAAAAACAUCUUAGUAAGUUGUUUAAAACAUGUUUACAUAAUUACAUCUUAUAUGAUGCUAAUGUGUACACCAACGUCACAUUGUACAUGUGUACAUUAACCUAACAAUAUACGUGUACAACAUACAUAAAACGCUCUCAGCCUCAUAUGAUUUCCAAAAAGUCAACAAUCUUUUUUGAGUCAUCCUGCUGUGUGUACUUCUGCAUAUAAUUACUGAAAUCCGUAGCUUUUAUUCCUUAUUGUUGCUAGUUUCCAUCCAGUUGUUAGGUAGAUGUUAGGUAGCUGUUGAGGAGCAUUACAUCACAUCCACGAGGACAAGAUCUGCUAUGAUUUGUUCGAAAAAUAGAUUGUUGAUUUUUCUUAUUUUUAAUAGCCUUGACGUUGCAUAUAUAAGAAAAGUUGAUGUAACUGAGAAACCUUGAGAACAAUAAAUUUGCAAAUUUCAUUAUUUUCUCCACUUCCUUUUAGUUUUUUUUCUGUAUCUGCCUUCACUCUCUUGGGAUAUAUAUAAAAAAAACAUAAAAAUAUCUGAGAGAAUAGGUUUAGAGUUUAUAGGGUCAGAUCGUUUUUGUGGGUUUGGUCCUGAAGAGCAAGAUGCGUUUGAAUGUGUGAUAUAGUAUCUGCAUAAUGACUGAGCCAAACCCGAUGUGGGACAAAUAGAGCGCAAGUUCUGACCCUUUACCCCUCCUGAAAUUAGUCCAGACGUUUCUUACACGUUAUGUCUCACUGGUAACUUUCUUAACUCCUAAACAUACUCAUUGUUUUAAUAAAAAUGCGAUUUAUUAGUCUCUCAUGGACCUAACUCUACUUGCAGAUUUUUGUUUGCAAGGGGAUCUUGGGCAUGAUUUUGACUCAAAAAUAAACUUAACACGUUAUACGAAUAGCCCACCAAAGGGCAAGCGGGUUUGUUUGUUGGAGGUCUCUCUCAAGGUGAUCAAUUAUUGAUGAAAGAAGCUAAACAUAUCUGAGGUCUUUCUUUGGAUAAACAAGAAAAUAGAUCGUGUCCAAAGAAUGAUUUAUGUUUUGUUGAUCUUGUUCUGGUUUGGUUUUGAACAGCUUAGUGUUGCUCUGUAAUGGAUGCAUAACCACUAGAUACGUCAGGAGAUUAUAAGGAACCGUUAUUUUGCCUCGUGAUAGCGAUGUUCCUUCGAAUCUUCUGACAUAUCUACUGCUUAUGCCACCAUUACAGAACAGCAACAAGCUGUUCAGAACCAAACCCAGAACAAGCACAACGGAACAUAAAAUCUGAUCAUCAGACACACGACCGUUGGGAAAUUCUUUUGUACAACUUGAAUCUGGAAAUCGAAGAAUCAUGUUUAUUGGAAAAAAAUAUAAUUUCUUUUCGUAUUACAAUUCUUUAGCACAAUUUAUAUGGAUAAAGAAGUGCAUAGAGCUGGCUUCUUUCUCGGCUCAGAUAAAUGGGGAGUUAGCGGGUUACUUCAACAGCAAGAGAGGCUUGCGUCAAGGGUGCUCGCUCUUGCCCUAUCUUUAUGUGAUCUGUAUGCAAGUUCUGACCAAGCUCUUGGAUAAAGCGGCUCUUGAAAACCGCAUAGGUUAUCACCCCUACUGCAAGGAGUUAUCCAUCACACACCUCUGUUUUGCCGACGACGUCUUAGUCUUUUCAGAUGGAAAGAAGAGCUCUAUAGAAGGUGUGUUGACAGUUUUUAAGGAGUUUCCUAUGAUGUCCGGUCUGAGUAUUAGCCUCGAGAAAUCUACCCUGUUCCUGGCUGGUGUGAAGGAGGAUGCUGCUGUGAAAAUUUUGGAUCAGUUCCCUUUUGAAGCGGGUUCUCUACCUGUAAGAUACUUGGGGUUACCGCUGCUGUCAAAGAAGAUGUCAAUCACAGACUAUGCUCCUCUGAUCUCGCAAAUCAUAAACAAGAUAUCUCCUGGACAGCGCGGCAUUUUUCAUUUGCGGGUCGACUGCAGUUAAUUGGUUAUGUGCUGUAUAAUGUGACAAACUUUUGGAUGUCAGCUUUUCGGCUUCCUAAGCAAUGCAUUUGAGAGAUUAACAGCUUAUGUUCGGCUUUUCUUUGGUCGGGACCGGUGAUGUCUACCCAGAAGGCAAAGAUUGCAUGGUCUGAUGUCUAUAAACCGAAGGAGGAAGGCGGUUUAGGUCUGCGGGAUCUGGAGGAAGUUAACAAAGUCUCUUGUUUGAAGUUAAUAUGGCGCAUUCUCUCAGCAAGAUCUUCGCUGUGGGUUCAAUGGAUUCACAGAUAUCUGAUCAGGAAAAGCUCUUUUUGGAAUGUGAAGGAAACAAGUUCCAUGGGCUCCUGGAUGUGGAAGAAAGUCCUGAAGCUCAGACCUUUGGCCCUGCAGCUCACAAAAAUGGAAGUAAACAGCGGAGCUUGAACAUCAUUCUGGCUUGAUAAAUGGUCGCAGCUGGGAGUCCUGUUAAAUCUUACAGGAGAAACUGGCUGUAUCAAACUUGGCAUUCCGAUCAACGCGACGGUGGAGAGAGUAGUAAACACCUAUCGCAGGCGUCGGCAUAGAAGCCAUGUCUUACUUCAGAUAGAGAAUGAGAUUAUAUCUCUUCAGGAACGCAGGCUUGGACAGCAAGAUGAUAGAUGUCUUUGGAUGAGGGAGAAUGGAGAUUUCAGAACGGGUUUCACGACAUCUCAAACUUGGAAUCUAACAAGAGCACACGGGCCCCGUGUUCUUUGGUCCAAGGGGAUAUGGUUCAAGGAGGCUACUCCCAAAUUUUCCUUUCUGACUUGGGAUGCGGUUCACAACAGGUUAUCGACGGGAGAUCGGUUGCUUAAGUGGAACCCUCAAGCAAUAUCAACUUUCUGGCUCUGCAAUGCAACUACUGAAACGCGAGAUCAUUUGUUUUUCGAGUGUGUUUUCUCUGAAGAAGUUUGGAAAUGAACAAUAAGGGGCCUGGCUGGGCAAGGACAUUCGGUGCAAUGGCAAUCUUUGAUACAACGGUUGGUGACAGGUCUUCCAGACCCAACACUAACCUUCCUCCUUCGAUACUGUUUCCAAACGGUAGUCUACGCUAUCUGGCAUGAGAGAAACACCCGGAGAGUUGGAGAUCCUUCUCUACCUCGUGCUCGAUUGAUUAUCUAUAUCGAUAGGUUGGUCAGAAACAGAAUAUCCUCCUUGCGAAAGAGAGUGGAAAGUAAAUGUGAGAAGGCCAUGGAGAUAUGGUUUGGGAGUAGAUAAUGCUUAUUUUUUUUCUCAAAGUUUUUUUAGGUCUAUAUCUACACAAAAUAGCAUUAGGUUGUACAAAAAUUUUUGAAGUGAAUAAAUUUAAAAAAAUUUCACACAAAAAAAAAAAGAUGUGAAUAAACUUGGUUACGCAUAGAGACAAUUGGAAAAUGUGUGGUAUAAUAUAGGGGACAAAAGUAAGAGAUUAUCCUCCCAUCACAAGAGCCAUUAAUUCCUUGAGCUACAAGAAACAAUAGAGACCCUCUGGUUCCUGCUUAAUUAACAACUGUAAAAAAUACUUUUGAACUCAAAGAAUUGCCUCACGGUCAAUAGUAAACAUGUCUUAAGACUUAACUCACAGAGAGAAGGCUAUGGAAACAACAAGAAUAGCUUCUUAUUUAUAGUAGAUAAUAGAUAGCUCAAGGAGAUAAGUAGAGAAUCUUAUAAGAUUACAAUCGAAUUUGAGUCACACUCUCCAAACCAGAACGGAUAAAUAGUUUCUGCAUAUGUUUCGAGUUUUAGAUCGUGAUCAAAUCCUUUACACAAUCUAAUCCUAUUACACCUUUGUUUGAUUGAUUUUUUAUGUAAAAACAAGGACAUGCAACAUCUCAAGUGAUGUAUUCAAAGGUUCUCAAGAAUCACUCAGAAGGAGAGUCAUCAAUGGGAUGCCAGAAUCUAUUAUAGAACCACAUGGUGUCACCCUUCACCGCAUAGCCAUCCUGGUUCCUGUGCCAACCAUAGUACGCGUGAG
Molecule: long non-coding RNA, 4784 nt
Filed under: Brassica napus (rape)
Lineage: Eukaryota; Viridiplantae; Streptophyta; Magnoliopsida; Brassicales; Brassicaceae
Description: long non-coding RNA (BNAP_LNC011949)
Source: RNAcentral